RNAcentral lists this ribosomal RNA (325 nucleotides) under uncultured eukaryote. RNAcentral describes it as "partial 18S ribosomal RNA". It matches the Rfam family "Eukaryotic small subunit ribosomal RNA", at positions 1470 to 1796 of the family's 1831-position model. The record is from RNAcentral.
CCCUUAGAUGUUCUGGGCCGCACGCGCGCUACACUGGUGCAUUCAACAAGUUCUACCUUGGCCGAGAGGCCUGGGAAAUCUUUCAAAUAUGUAUCGUGAUAGGGAUAGAUUAUUGCAAUUAUUAAUCUUGAACGAGGAAUUCCUAGUAAAUGCAGAUCAUCAUUCUGCGUUGAUUACGUCCCUGCCCUUUGUACACACCGCCCGUCGCACCUACCGAUUGAAUGAUCCGGUGAAGCCUCGGGAUUGUGCCCAGAGAACUUUAUUGUGAUUUGGGUGUGAGAACUUGUCUAAACCUUAUCAUUUAGAGGAAGGUGAAGUCGUAACA